Molecule: ribosomal RNA, 587 nt
Filed under: uncultured bacterium
Lineage: Bacteria
Description: bacterial SSU rRNA
Rfam family: Bacterial small subunit ribosomal RNA
Source: RNAcentral
AGAGUUUGAUCCUGACUCAGAAUCAACGCUGGCGGCGUGCCUAACACAUGCAAGUCGCACGAGAAAGGGGAGCAAUCCCUGAGUAUAGUGGCGCACGGGUGAGUAACACGUGACUAACCUACCCUCGAGUGGGGAAUAACCUAGGGAAACCUGGGCUAAUACCGCAUAACACUUACGAGUCAAAGCAGCAAUGCGCUUGGGGAGGGGGUCGCGGCCGAUUAGCUAGUUGGCGGGGUAAUGGCCCACCAAGGCAAUGAUCGGUAUCCGGCCUGAGAGGGCGCACGGACACACUGGAACUGAAACACGGUCCAGACUCCUACGGGAGGCAGCAGUGGGGAAUUUUGCGCAAUGGGGGAAACCCUGACGCAGCAACGCCGCGUGGAGGAUGAAGUCUCUUGGGACGUAAACUCCUUUCGAUCGGGAAGAUAAUGACGGUACCGAUAGAAGAAGCCCCGGCUAACUUCGUGCCAGCAGCCGCGGUAAUACGAGGGGGGCAAGCGUUGUUCGGAAUUAUUGGGCGUAAAGGGUGCGUACGCGGUCUGGUAAGUCUUGUGUGAAAUCUUCAGGCUCAACCUGAAGUCUGCAUG